CGUACACUUGCUUUCUUUCUUAUUCUCUUCUUUGUUUUCUCCUUUGUCAACCUCAACAACGCAAGAAAACUACCUGAGGAUUAUUGGAAGAACAUAAUGAAAGAUCAGCCUAUACCAGAAGCGAUCAAAAGCCUGCUUGUUGAAGAUUCAACUGAUGCUGCCGCUUCUUUAUUAGGUGCUAAUAAAAUGAACCAUUUUGUUAAGGAUUUUGAUACCAGAGCUAUUGCUGUUAUAUAUCACAGCCAUGGCGAGAAUAAGAAAAAUGAACAUUCCCCAUCAAAAUGAUGAUGAUGAUGAGAUUAAAGGAG
This 308-nucleotide unclassified non-coding RNA is filed under the name Hevea brasiliensis (rubber tree). The record is from RNAcentral. Lineage: Eukaryota; Viridiplantae; Streptophyta; Magnoliopsida; Malpighiales; Euphorbiaceae.